GACGAACGCUGGCGGCGUGCUUAACACAUGCAAGUCGAACGGAAAGGCCCUGCUUGCAGGGUACUCGAGUGGCGAACGGGUGAGUAACACGUGGGUGAUCUGCCCUGCACUUCGGGAUAAGCCUGGGAAACUGGGUCUAAUACCGGAUAGGAGCCAUUUUUAGUGUGAUGGUUGGAAAGUUUUUUCGGUGUAGGAUGAGCUCGCGGCCUAUCAGCUUGUUGGUGGGGUAAUGGCCUACCAAGGCGGCGACGGGUAGCCGGCCUGGGAGGGUGGACGGCCACAUUGGGACUGGGAUACGGCCCAGACUCCUACGGGGGGCAGCAGUGGGGAAUAUUGCACAAUGGGCGCAAGCCUGAUGCAGCGACGCCGGGUGGGGGAUGACGGCCUUCGGGUUGUAAACUCCUUUCGCUAGGGACGAAGCUUUUUGUGACGGUACCUAGAUAAGAAGCACCGGCUAACUACGUG
This 465-nucleotide ribosomal RNA is filed under the name uncultured bacterium. RNAcentral's name for it is "partial 16S ribosomal RNA". It matches the Rfam family "Bacterial small subunit ribosomal RNA", at positions 28 to 507 of the family's 1533-position model. The record is from RNAcentral.